AUGGCCAUGGACGGCGUGGGCUUUGGCCUGCCCUGGGGGCUGUCUCAGGGGUCUCACAGCACUCCCUGUGUUGCAGCGAACCCGACCAGCCCCAGCGUCUUCCCGCUGAGCCUCAAGAGCGCCGACCAAGCCGGACACGUGGUCGUUGGAUGCCUGAUCCAGGGCUUCUUCCCAGCGGAGCCCAUGGAGGUGACCUGGACCGGGGAGGGCGGGUCCACCAAGAACUUCCCCCCCAUGCUGGCUGCUUCCGGGGGCCUGUACAGCAUGACCAGCCAGCUGACCCUGCCAGCCGACCAGUGCCCAGCUGACGCCGCCAAGACAUGCCACGUGCAGCACAACUCCAAUUUCAACAAGGAUGUGAAAGUGCGCUGCAAAGAUCAACCUAAUAUAUGCCCACCAUCAAACUGCGAGCCCCAGCUGUCACUGCACCGGCCCGCCCUCGAGGACCUGCUGCUGGGCUCCAAUGCCAACCUCACGUGCACCCUGAGAGGCCUGAAAAACCCCGAGGGUGCCACCUUCACCUGGAAUCCCUCCGGUGGGCAGGACGCCAUUCAGGGGACCCCUCAGCGUGACUCCUGUGGCUGCUACAGCGUGUCCAGCGUCCUGCCAGGCUGCGCCGAGCCAUGGAACCGCGGGGAGACCUUCUCAUGCACUGCCACCCACCCUGAGUCCAAGAGCUCGAAAACCGCCACCAUCUCCAAGCCCUCAGGGAGCAACUUCCGGCCCCAGGUCCACCUGCUGCCGCCGCCGUCGGAGGAGCUGGCCCUCAAUGAGCUGGUGACACUGACGUGCCUGGUGCGGGGCUUCAGCCCCGAGGACGUGCUGGUGCGGUGGCUGCAAGGGAUGCAGGAGCUUCCUCCAGAGAAGUACCUGACCUGGGGGCCCCUGCCCGAGGCCGGCCAAGGCGUCACCACGUUCGCCGUGACCAGCGUGCUGCGCGUGGAGGCUGAGUCCUGGAAAAACGGGGACAACUUCUCCUGCAUGGUGGGCCACGAGAGCCUGCCGCUGACCUUCACCCAGAAGACCAUUGACCGCCUGGCGGGUAAACCCACCCACGUCAACGUGUCCGUGGUCUUGUCGGAGGUGGAAGGCACCUGCUACUGACCCGCCCCCACCUGCCCUCCCCGCCCUUGAAUAAACUCCAUGCUCGCCCAAA
Molecule: non-coding RNA, 1156 nt
Organism: Hipposideros armiger (great roundleaf bat)
Lineage: Eukaryota; Metazoa; Chordata; Mammalia; Chiroptera; Hipposideridae
Source: the annotation of a RefSeq genome assembly